CGGAGGGUGCAAGCGUUAUCCGGAUUCACUGGGUUUAAAGGGUGCGUAGGCGGGCUUGUAAGUCCGUGGUGAAAUCUCUGAGCUUAACUCGGAAACUGCCAUGGAUACUAUAGGCCUUGAAUUCUGUGGAGGUUUGCGGAAUAUGUCAUGUAGCGGUGAAAUGCUUAGAUAUGACAUAGAACACCGAUUGCGAAGGCAGCAGGCUACACAGCGAUUGACGCUGAGGCACGAAAGCGUGGGGAUCAAACAGGAUUAGAUACCCUGGUAGUCCACGCCCUAAACGAUGAUUACUCGACAUUCGUGAUACACAAUAAGUGUCUGAGCGAAAGCAUUAAGUAAUCCACCUGGGAAGUACGACCGCAAGGUUG
RNAcentral lists this ribosomal RNA (368 nucleotides) under uncultured organism. RNAcentral's name for it is "bacterial SSU rRNA". It matches the Rfam family "Bacterial small subunit ribosomal RNA", at positions 526 to 896 of the family's 1533-position model. The record is from RNAcentral.